Molecule: ribosomal RNA, 253 nt
Filed under: uncultured bacterium
Lineage: Bacteria
Description: partial 16S ribosomal RNA
Rfam family: Bacterial small subunit ribosomal RNA
Source: RNAcentral
UACGUAGGGUGCAAGCGUUGUCCGGAAUUAUUGGGCGUAAAGAGCUCGUAGGCGGUCUGUCGCGUCGGCUGUGAAAUCCCGGAGCUCAACUCCGGGCCUGCAGUCGAUACGGGCAGACUAGAGUUCGGCAGGGGAGACUGGAAUUCCUGGUGUAGCGGUGAAAUGCGCAGAUAUCAGGAGGAACACCGGUGGCGAAGGCGGGUCUCUGGGCCGAUACUGACGCUGAGGAGCGAAAGCGUGGGGAGCGAACAGG